UACAGAGGGUGCGAGCGUUAAUCGGAAUUACUGGGCGUAAAGCGUGCGCAGGCGGCUUUGCAAGACAGAUGUGAAAUCCCCGGGCUCAACCUGGGAACUGCCUUUGAUACUGGGUAUCUUGAGUAUGGAAGAGGUGAGUGGAAUUCCGAGUGUAGAGGUGAAAUUCGUAGAUAUUCGGAGGAACACCAGUGGCGAAGGCAGCCAUCUGGCCUAAUACUGACACUGAGGUGCGAAAGCAUGGGGAGCAAACAGG
This 253-nucleotide ribosomal RNA is filed under the name uncultured bacterium. Its description in RNAcentral is "partial 16S ribosomal RNA". It matches the Rfam family "Bacterial small subunit ribosomal RNA", at positions 524 to 776 of the family's 1533-position model. The record is from RNAcentral.